GAUGAAGAACGUAGCGAAAUGCGAUACGUAAUGUGAAUUGCAGAAUUCAGUGAAUCAUCGAGUCUUUGAACGCACAUUGCGCCCCCUGGUAUUCCGGGGGGCAUGCCUGUCCGAGCGUCAUUGCUGCCCUCAAGCACGGCUUGUGUGUUGGGCCUCCGCCCCCCGGCUCCCGGGGGGCGGGCCCGAAAGGCAGCGGCGGCACCGCGUCCGGUCCUCGAGCGUAUGGGGCUUCGUCACCCGCUCCGUAGGCCCGGCCGGCGCCCGCCGGCGACCCCCCUCAAUCUUUCCAGGUUGACCUCGGAUCAGGUAGGGAUACCCGCUGAACUUAAGCAUAUUAAUAAGCGGAGGA
Molecule: unclassified non-coding RNA, 349 nt
Filed under: soil metagenome
Description: partial contains 5.8S ribosomal RNA, internal transcribed spacer 2, and large subunit ribosomal RNA
Rfam family: 5.8S ribosomal RNA (bases 1-120)
Source: RNAcentral